GGAGGCCUCCAGGCAGCUGGAGGCUGCUGCUCCAGAGGAAGCCGAGCUCACUUCUGGGAGUGGACGGCCCCAGCUUUUGAGAGCUCCAGCAUGCCAGCCACGCGGCCGCAAAACAGGGCCUCGGAGGAGCCAAACCUAAGCGCGGGUCUUCCAGCACCUCUUGCCUUCCCUCCUCUGCAGGGGGACAGCAGCAUCUGGGAUGGCACCUUUGGCCCAG
RNAcentral lists this long non-coding RNA (217 nucleotides) under Marmota monax (woodchuck). The record is from RNAcentral. Lineage: Eukaryota; Metazoa; Chordata; Mammalia; Rodentia; Sciuridae.